CCUACAGGUGGCAGCAGUGGGGGAUAUUGCACAAUGGGGGGAACCCUGAUGCAGCGACGCCGCGUGGGUGAAGAAGCGCCUCGGCGCGUAAAGCCCUGUCAGCAGGGAAGAAAAUGACGGUACCUGAAGAAGAAGCCCCGGCUAACUACGUGCCAGCAGCCGCGGUAAUACGUAGGGGGCAAGCGUGAUCCGGAUUUACUGGGUGGAAAGGGGGCGCAGACGGCGAAGCAAGCCAGGAGUGAAAGCCCGGGGCCCAACCCCGGGACUGCACUUGGAACUGCGUGGCUGGAGUGCAGGAGGGGCAGGCGGAAUUCCUGGUGUAGCGGUGAAAUGCGUAGAUAUCAGGGGGAACACCGGUGGGGAAGGCGGCCUGCUGGACUGCAACUGACGUUGAGGCCCGAAAGCGUGGGGAGCAAACAGGAUUAGAUACCCGAGUAGUC
RNAcentral lists this ribosomal RNA (440 nucleotides) under uncultured bacterium. RNAcentral describes it as "partial 16S ribosomal RNA". It matches the Rfam family "Bacterial small subunit ribosomal RNA", at positions 338 to 795 of the family's 1533-position model. The record is from RNAcentral.